This 226-nucleotide unclassified non-coding RNA is filed under the name Hevea brasiliensis (rubber tree). Lineage: Eukaryota; Viridiplantae; Streptophyta; Magnoliopsida; Malpighiales; Euphorbiaceae. The record is from RNAcentral.
UAUCAAUUCUCUCUCUCUCCCUUUCACGAUCCCAAGCUCUCCUGUCCUUAAUCCAUUCAAUUUGCCUAUUCCUGUCUUCAAUUCCUAGUUUGUGUGGACCUCUUUAGUGUCGACGCAUGGAAUGGGUGGGCUCAAAGUGUGAUUUCUCAUCUUCGUUUCCCUUUUCCUCGAUCGCGACCAUGCAUGCACUGAGAGGGGAGAAAACUAUCAGAUUUAGAAGCCCCCC